GCUCUCCAUGUAGGAACCCAGUGCCUUAACCACCACGCCACCUGCUGGUCCCUAGCAAAGGCACUUCUUAGUUCCUGCUCUCCCCACUGCUGGCCUGGCCAGCCGUUGCCAGUCGGGAGAGCUGCAUGUCAGGUGGCCAACACUCCUGUCCUGGCCUGCCGGCAGCCCCGCCCCAUUCUGGGGCGGCAGGUCAGAGACUGUCCACUCAAUGGCAGCGGGUGUGUUGGCGCUGCCCACCUGCUCUCCAGGCUCUGCUCUGUGCUCUCCGGACCCUGGGUGGCGCUCCACUCACCGGGCUGAGCAACCUCCGUUUCUACUUCCUGCCCGGCCUGCUGCAGACCUGCUCCACCUCAGCACUCAGGAACCGGCCAGCUCUGUCAUGGCAGCACCUGCCACACUGCGGUGCCGGUCAGGGGUGUGCACCUGCCCUUCCUUAAACGAGGAGCUUCUUACUGACCCGUCGACAUGCAUCGCACUUGCUGAGAGCCGGCCUCGUGGGGACCAGCGGCGAGCAAGUGGCUGAGAGCCGGCCAGCCUCUCGUGGGGACCAGCAGUGAGCAGGUGGCUGAGAGCCGGCCAUGUGGGGACCAGCAGUGAGCAGGUGGCUGAGAGUCGGCCUCAUGGGGACCAGCGGCAAGCAGGUGGUUGAGAGCCUCUCCUCCCGGAGCUUCUGUUCUGGUAGUGACAGGGACAGAGGUACGUAAAUACUGAGCAUAGGGCAGGGCACCUGCUGAUGAGCAGGAGGGACAGAGGCAGGGACAGGAGAGGGACGUGGUUACGGAUUGCAGAAGACAGUCGGGGAGCCUUUAUUGAGAGCAGAAUCUCAAACAAGAACCUGGAAGGGGCCGGCAGCAGACCAGGGGCAACUGUGGGCUGCGAUGGCAUUACCACGUGGGCCCGGGUGUGGUCUGCAUGCUUCCAUGCAGUGAGCCUGGGCCACACGGAGCGAAUAAAUCGGAUCAGAGACUUGUGCCUUGCCACACCUGCACGCGGGAGGCUCGCCCUGGCUCUUGUUCCUCCUGCGGCGUUUCUGUGCACUUGGGAUCAGGCAUGGGAAGACUUCCACCCGGUCUCAUGGCCGCUGUAAGCUGCACUGCAGGUAUUCCCGGGGCUUGUCUCUCGCCAUGUGUAUCCCUGCAAAGGGCCAAAAAAUGCUUAGGCGAAGUUAAAGCCAAGCUUCCACGCAUGCUCCGGCUCGCGGGAUGAAGAAUGAGCGGGACAGACCUGGGUCGGAGUCGGCCCUGAUGCGUCGUGAGCAGGAGAACAUCAGCAGUGGGCCUUGGCUGCCGUGGUCCACUAGGACCUCACUUAUCCCACCUGAAGGGCCCCAAUUCCCAAUUCCAGGAAGUAGCAAAGUGGAAGAACCCCGCAGUGACAUGUGAGUGGGCGUCAUUGAGUCUCCUGCAGCUGAUUUACCAUGUCUACCCACUCGGUGUCGCCAAGACUGGGCCACCCACCUCGUUUUUCUCUGGCAGUGGGCCAAAUGGAAGCUAUGCUUGAGCUGGAGGAUCUUUCAGACCGUUUUUAAAAUCAUCCACAGAAGCAAAGCUCAUUUUCCCUAUUGGUAAGAUGAACUCUGCAUUAAGAAUAUAUUUUAUUAUUGUACAGAAGAUGUAUGAGAAGGUUUUCACUCACUUACCUAGAAGGCCCACGCUGGGAGUCUGUCCCAAGAACAGAGCAAACUUCCUCUACAGAGGUGCUUAUGGAAGCAACAGUAUUCACCUGUGGAGAAGGAUUCUGGAAACCAAGGUUUGCAAGGAACCAAAGUGAGUCCAUCUUGAAGCUAAUUGGCCAUGGUGACCGACAUUUAACCCCACAGUUCCCAGCUGAAUUUCCGAGGCUGGAAUGCAGCUUUGGCCAGUAUAGUAAAGAUAAUUGUGCCUGCCCAUGGAGUGCACGUCCUGACCACAGUUAAAACGUGGUACAGCACAGACUGCGCCAUGCCUUCCUCCGAUGCCUCCCUUCCUUCGGUAUACACCGCUCUCCUGUACUGACAGCAGCAGCCUCUGCCUGGGGUGAAGAUCAGGGAGACCUAGCCGUCUGAAGCCACCCAAGACCUUACUCCUGUCCCUACAUUGCCAUAAUAAACUCAGACUCGACCAACCGGUCCUGUCUGCCUCCUCCUGUA
Molecule: long non-coding RNA, 2128 nt
Organism: Tupaia belangeri chinensis (Chinese tree shrew)
Lineage: Eukaryota; Metazoa; Chordata; Mammalia; Scandentia; Tupaiidae
Exons: 4
Source: RefSeq, a predicted model, not a curated record